UAAUAAGUGUUUUAUGGCACUUUUUAAAUCCAUAUCCACCUUGUGUGCAAUGUCGGUCGAUCUUCUUUAUUGAGGAUUGGACCAAACAUUAACCAUAUCUUUUAACUCUUUGUCUGAAAAAUAUUAUGAAUAAACAAUUCAAAAUA
This 146-nucleotide unclassified non-coding RNA is filed under the name soil metagenome. RNAcentral's name for it is "partial internal transcribed spacer 1". The record is from RNAcentral.